RNAcentral lists this ribosomal RNA (499 nucleotides) under Haloferax volcanii. RNAcentral's name for it is "bacterial SSU rRNA". It matches the Rfam family "Archaeal small subunit ribosomal RNA", at positions 344 to 844 of the family's 1478-position model. The record is from RNAcentral. Lineage: Archaea; Methanobacteriati; Methanobacteriota; Halobacteria; Halobacteriales; Haloferacaceae.
AAACCUUUACACUGCACGCAAGUGCGAUAAGGGGACCCCAAGUGCGAGGGCAUAUAGUCCUCGCUUUUCACGACUGUAAGGCGGUNGUGGAAUAAGAGCUGGGCAAGACCGGUGCCAGCCGCCGCGGUAAUACCGGCAGCUCAAGUGAUGACCGAUAUUAUUGGGCCUAAAGCGUCCGUAGCCGGCCACGAAGGUUCAUCGGGAAAUCCGCCAGCUCAACUGGCGGGCGUCCGGUGAAAACCACGUGGCUUGGGACCGGAAGGCUCGAGGGGUACGUCCGGGGUAGGAGUGAAAUCCCGUAAUCCUGGACGGACCACCGAUGGCGAAAGCACCUCGAGAAGACGGAUCCGACGGUGAGGGACGAAAGCUAGGGUCUCGAACCGGAUUAGAUACCCGGGUAGUCCUAGCUGUAAACGAUGCUCGCUAGGUGUGACACAGGCUACGAGCCUGUGUUGUGCCGUAGGGAAGCCGAGAAGCGAGCCGCCUGGGAANACUCCGC